Apis cerana (Asiatic honeybee) is the source of this 1353-nucleotide long non-coding RNA. RefSeq lists it as uncharacterized. Lineage: Eukaryota; Metazoa; Arthropoda; Insecta; Hymenoptera; Apidae. The record is from RefSeq and is a predicted model, not a curated record.
UUGAAAUUCAGAUAAAUCAAACGAAAAUAUAUUUUUAUCUAUCUUUGAAAUAUAAGUUAUAAAUGUUUCUGUAAUGUUAUAUUAUACAAUUAGCUUUUAUCAAAUAUUUGAUACAAAUGUUACAUUAUUCUUGGAACAUUCGAAUAAUUUCAUUAAAUUGAACAGAUAAAACUUUUUCAACUUCGUUCAAGUUUCAAAUAUUAAUAGAAGCUUAUUUCAAAUAAAAUGUCGUAAAGUUUAUUUUAUUAAGUUAUAAUUAAAAUUUGCAUUAAGCAAAACGAGAUAAGCUGAGAUCGUCUGUCUUCGUUAUUCUGUAUUCUUCAUUUAACUAAGGCGAAAUUAAAUUGCUUGUAAGUUAAUAAAUGAGUCUUAAGCGACAUUUUUGUAUAUUAAUUUUUAAAUUUUAGAAUCGAAAUAUUCCACGAAUAUAAUAAUAAUAAUAUCCUACACUCAACAAAUUUUCAAAUUCAAUUAUUUCAAAAACUAAUUUUUAAAUGAUAAAAAUUUCUAUAAUUCUAUAACUUUCGUUUAUUUUUAGAACUAUUUUUUAUCGAUGAUUUAUUUAUAUCAAAUACUCUCAAUAUUAAAAAUCAAGCAGCAAUAUAAUAUUAAAGAUAGAGAGGUCUAGAAAGAAAGUUUUUAGCGUAUAUAUUAAUUAGAAUCAUAUAUUAAAUCUAAUUACGAAUGCUUGAAUCGUAUUGGUCUCUUUCACGUGUUACGAGGGCAAUUGGCCUGCAGAAAGCGUUCACACUCGAAAAAUUUCGCACAAACUCGUCCCAGUGAAGCGGCGAAGCACAGUUUUGAGGCUGAAAUUGCUAAAAGCUCGGAUUUCAAAGGCGAGUUUCAUGGACAAAUUAACUGGCUGUGUAAUUCAGUACGCCAUCUAUGAAAGCCAUAAGCGGCGAAGAAGAAGCCUAAUUCACCGAUUUGUCGCCCCAUAUAACGUCGUUCUAUGAACGAGGCGAUCGCAGAAAUAGAAUCCCAAACAUAUAAAGCCCACCACAAGAGUAUUUUUCGAGCAAUCGUAAAUCCGACUAUCGCAAAUGGCCAGGGGAUAAAAGACGUCCCCGGAAAUCGUUCGCGGCUAGAAUUUAACGCCACGCCGCCUUCCAUGUACACACAACGUGAAAAAUCGAAGGAAACAGAAUUCGUGGGGAGAAUGCCGCAAGAGUUGGAAGUAACCAAGACGGAAGUACACGGGGGAGAGGCAGGAAGGACGUGAUUUCUGCGGUGAGACCGGGUUCCGUUAUUUGAACUGGGCGACAGAGAAGCCGAUGAAGGAUCCACAACCGGGGAACUCCUCCACUUUCUGUUUAUUUAUCGGUUUAAUAAAGCCUUACCGUACAUCUUAAA